Molecule: ribosomal RNA, 1480 nt
Filed under: metagenome
Description: bacterial SSU rRNA
Rfam family: Bacterial small subunit ribosomal RNA
Source: RNAcentral
AGAGUUUGAUCCUGGCUCAGGAUGAACGCUAGCGGCAGGCCUAACACAUGCAAGUCGAACGGUAACAUGAGAGCCUGCUCUUGAUGACGAGUGGCGCACGGGUGCGUAACGCGUAUGCAACCUACCUUUUACUGAGGGAUAGCCCAGAGAAAUUUGGAUUAAUACCUCAUAGUAUCAUAAAUGUUCAUGCAUUAAUGAUUAAAACUUCGGUGGUAAAAGAUGGGCAUGCGUAAGAUUAGCUAGUUGGUAAGGUAACGGCCUACCAAGGCAACGAUCUUUAGGGGGCCUGAGAGGGUGGUCCCCCACACCGGUACUGAGACACGGACCAGACUCCUACGGGAGGCAGCAGUGAGGAAUAUUGGUCAAUGGACGCAAGUCUGAACCAGCCAUGCCGCGUGAAGGAAGAAGGUGUUCUGCAUCGUAAACUUCUUUUAUAUAGGAAGAAACUUCUCUACGUGUAGAGAACUGACGGUACUAUAUGAAUAAGGACCGGCUAACUCCGUGCCAGCAGCCGCGGUAAUACGGAGGGUCCAAGCGUUAUCCGGAUUUAUUGGGUUUAAAGGGUCCGUAGGCGGAUUUUUAAGUCAGUGGUGAAAGCCUGCAGCUCAACUGCAGAACUGCCAUUGAUACUGGAAAUCUUGGGUGUAUUUGAAGUGGGCGGAAUGUGUCAUGUAGCGGUGAAAUGCAUAGAUAUGACACAGAACACCGAUUGCGAAGGCAGCUCACUAAACUACAACUGACGCUGAGGGACGAAAGCGUGGGGAGCGAACAGGAUUAGAUACCCUGGUAGUCCACGCCGUAAACGAUCAUCACUCGCUGUUGGCGAUACACAGUCAGCGGCCAAGCGAAAGCAUUAAGUGAUGCACCUGGGAAGUACGGUCGCAAGAUUGAAACUCAAAGGAAUUGACGGGGGCCCGCACAAGCGGUGGAGCAUGUGGUUUAAUUCGAUGAUAUGCGAGGAACCUUACCAGGGCUUAAAUGCAGAAUGACAGUUUGAGAAAUCAGAUUUUCUUCGGACAUUUUGCAGGGUGCUGCAUGGUUGUCGUCAGCUCGUGCCGUGAGGUGUCAGGUUAAGUCCUAUAACGAGCGCAACCCCUAUCUUUAGUUGCCAGCGGGUCAUGCCGGGGACUCUAAAGAAACUGCCAGCGCAAGCUGUGAGGAAGGUGGGGAUGACGUCAAAUCAUCACGGCCCUUACGUCCUGGGCUACACACGUGCUACAAUGGUAACGACAGAGGGCAGCCACCACGCGAGUGGGAGCGAAUCCUUAAACGUUAUCUCAGUUCGGAUUGGAGUCUGCAACUCGACUCCAUGAAGCUGGAAUCGCUAGUAAUCGCGCAUCAGCCAUGGCGCGGUGAAUACGUUCCCGGGCCUUGUACACACCGCCCGUCAAGCCAUGGAAGCCGGGGGUGCCUGAAGUCGGUAACCGCAAGGAGCUGCCUAGGGUAAAACUGGUAACUAGGGCUAAGUCGGAACAAGGUA